CGUGGUUCGGAAACAACGUGAUUUGAAGAGAGAGAACGGUUGCUGAGUCAUCACAAACCGGUAACUCAGGUAGCAGGUUGUAUAACUCAGAGAGAGGACGUUGUCCGUAGCCGGAGAGGAGAGAAAAAUCAGCUUCGGUCUGGGCUAUUGUUACUGAAACGGCGUCGUUUGGAGAGACGACGAUGCUGGGCUUGGGCUCGUUUGGGUCCCAUGUUAUGCGGCCGGCGAGAGGGAGAUAG
Molecule: long non-coding RNA, 239 nt
Filed under: Brassica rapa (field mustard)
Lineage: Eukaryota; Viridiplantae; Streptophyta; Magnoliopsida; Brassicales; Brassicaceae
Description: long non-coding RNA (BRAP_LNC004655)
Source: RNAcentral